GGGGGUGACCGGCUUUGACGGUCCUGUACUUUGAGAGACGUGCGACGCAGUGGAAGGAUACUGACCACUUAAAAACGUAUUCAAUCAAACUUGCCAAGAACACUCUUGCAAGCGUAAAGUCGCCUUACUUCGGUAAGAAGGACUUUGCGUUCGCUUACGCGUAAAAGCUUCGCGCUUUCGCCUAAGCGACGUUCAUACAUCUUCGUUCCUUCAGGAAUAUGUAUGGGCGGAAUCUUCUGAAGGAUCGGUAUCGAAGGUCUCCCUGCCUUCGGCUUAAAAGACGGGACUAGGCAGAAGCGAUUUGGCUAACGUUCCUAUGCUUCUGCUGAACCCUCAACGUUAGCUACGCGUCGUAGACUCGCUCUUAAAGCAGGAUUCGGACCGGAGUUCAACUCUCCGCACCUCCACAU
RNAcentral lists this transfer-messenger RNA (410 nucleotides) under bacterium. It matches the Rfam family "transfer-messenger RNA". From Rfam's summary of the family: Bacterial tmRNA, also known as 10Sa RNA or SsrA, is named for its dual tRNA and mRNA-like properties. Its role is to liberate the mRNA from a stalled ribosome. The record is from RNAcentral.